AUCCAGUUGGGAACUGAGCACUGAGCUUUGGUUGGAUCUAAGCUCUGACCCAGGACAUCAACCGUGAGCACUGAGCCGCUCCUCCCAUCUGCAGAUCCGCUUGCGCCGCUGUCAUCUUCACGGCCGACCGGCAAGACCGGCGGCGCUCUCGGUGACCAGAUUAACAACUGCCUGGGAGGCAAUGGACGUAACUUUCUGUCAACUGGUCUGUGCUUAAUCUGAACUUCCUGCAACUGACUCAAACUUUGUUGCAUUCGGAAUUCUGGGAGAGAGAUUGUUGCAGCGAAGAGCACAAAGAACGAGAAGAUGGAGUUUGUGGUGGGUGCUUCGGAAGCAACCAUGAAAUCUCUCCUAGGCAAGCUGGGCAGCCUCCUCGCCCAGGAGUAUACUCUGAUCCGUGGAGUCCGCCGCGACGUCCAGUACAUCAAUGACGAGCUCACCACUAUGCAGGCCUUCCUUGGUGAUGUUAGCUCUGCUCCGGACGGCCAUGACCGUAGGCUGAAGGACUGGAUGAAGCAGAUCCGUGACAUGGCAUAUGACAUGGAGGACUGCAUUGACGACUUUGCCCACCGCCUCCCUCACGACUCCCUCAGUGAUGCCACGUGCUCCUUCAUAGUGAUGAGAGUCUACGAGCUCUGGACGUUUGGGCCUCGCCGUGAAAUUGCUUCCAAGAUUGCUGACCUCAAGCUCCGGGCACAACAGAUUGCUGAACGCCGCGGCAGAUAUGGAGUGGAUAACCCAGGCAACAGUAACAGCAGCACCUCUGUAGCUGGAGCCUCCCGUGCUGCUAGGCAUGAGCAUGACAUUACUGAGCAUCUGAUGGGGAGCCGUCAGCUCAUCCGUACAGAGAAGCCUGUGGGGGUGGGAGCAUACAUGAGGGAGCUUGGGAAUUGGCUAAACAAACGUGAUAAUAUUUCUGGAAAGCAUCGAGCUGUUCUGUCCAUAGUCGGUUUUGGUGGCAUGGGAAAGACCACCAUUGCAACGGCAUUGUACCGAAACUUCAGAAAUGAAUUUGACUGCCGGGCAUCAGUCACCGUGUCUCAGAACUACGACGAAGAUGAAGUGCUCAGGGAUAUUCUUGGUCAAAUCAAGCCACAGGACAGCGAGCAUGAGCAGCAAGGCAGCAGCAAAGGGGGUUUGGAGAAAAAAAGACUAUCUGCAGACAUUAAAAGCUCAGUGAAGCGUGUUUUUCCACUGAUCUUCGGCCACAGGCAGCAGGGCAAUGAUGGCAGCUCUAAUUGGAUGCAGAACAAGAUCGAAACAAUGAACCGUGAUCAACUCGUCAAAGAACUGGAAGGGCGACUGAAUGGAAAGAGGUAUCUCCUUUUGAUUGAUGACAUAUGGUCUGCAGAAACAUGGGAUAAGAUCAGAAAUUGGUUGCCACAUGAUAACACAAAAGACAGUAGAGUGAUAGUGACUACAAGAUUUCAAGCUGUUGGUGCAGCGUGCUCCGAAGGAGAGGGAACUGAUCAUCUGCAUACAGUUGAUGUCCUUAACGAUGUCGACUCCAAAAGUUUGUUCAAUCAUAGUGUUUAUGAAUCGGAAAGUAGCGAGAAAGAACAAGUGCAUGAGGACAUUUGGAAAUAUUGUGGGGGGCUGCCUUUGGCCAUAGUUGCCGUUGCUGGUCUUGUCGCCUGCAACCGAAGAAAAAAAAGUGACCACUGGAGUAAAGUUUGCGAGUCAUUAUUUACAGAGCAGGGGGCUCCACUUACCCUGGAUGGUGUCACAAGGAUACUUGAUUAUUGCUACGAUGAUUUGUCUGCAGAGCUCAAAACCUGCUUAUUGUACUUGAGCAUAUUUCCGAAGGGUUCGAAAAUUAGUAGGAAGCGUCUAACAAGGCGUUGGAUAUCUGAAUGUUUUGUCAGUGGGAAGCAAGGGUUGACCGAGGAUGAAGUUGCAGAAACAUACUUUAAUCAGCUCAUAGAAAGGAAGAUAAUACGUCCUUUAGAGCACAGCAGCAAUGGGAAGGUAAAAUCGUUCAAAGUUCAUGACAUGAUCCUUGAAUACAUCGUGUCCAAGUCAAGCGAAGAGAAUUUCAUUACUGUUGUUGGUGGCCACUGGCAGAUGCCAGCACCUAGCAAUAAAGUCCGUCGACUGUCGAUGCAAAGCAGUGGUUCCAAGCAUGGGAAUUCGACGAAAGGCAUGAACUUGUCUCAAGUGCGAUCACUGACUGUGUUUGGAAGCAUGAACAAGCUGCCUUUCCAUUCAUUCAAUAAUGGAAUAAUUCAAGUGCUGGAUCUCGAGGGCUGGAAGGGUUUGACACAUAACCAUCUGAAUGACAUAUGUAGAAUGCUUGUACUGAAGUAUUUGAGCCUCCGAAGAACAGAAGUGGCCAAGAUUCCCUCCAAGAUUGAGAAGCUUCAGUAUCUGGAAACUCUUGACAUCAGGGAGACAAAUGUGGUGGUGCUGCCCAAAGCUUUCGGCCAGCUCCAACGGCUCCGCAGCAUGCUUGGAGGGAGCAAAAAUCCAAGAAAGGCGUUGAGGUUGCCUCAAGAGAAAAAUAAGGAGCAGAUGAAAGCACUGCGCAUACUGUCAGGGAUUGAGAUCACUGAGGGCUCAACAGCUGUAGCAAGCCUCCAUCAGCUGACGGGGCUAAGGAAACUUGCCAUUUACAAACUCAACGUACAGAAGGGUGGUCGGACCUCCACACAGUUGCGCUCCUCCAUUGAGUAUCUCUGCAGCUGCGGCCUGCAGACUCUUGCAAUCAAUGAUGAGGGUUCUGAUUUUAUCAGUUCACUGGAUGCCAUGUCCGCUCCUCCAAGAUACCUCAUCGCCCUGGAGCUGUCGGGCAAGAUGAAAAGAGCCCCAAAGUGGAUCAACAAUCUCAAAAACCUCUUCAAGCUAACCCUCUCCGUGACAGUUCUCCGGGCUGAUACUUUGGAGCUCCUCGGUGACCUUCCUAAACUGUUCUCUCUCACCUUUUCGCUCAGUGCAGCGAAGCAGGAUCAGGCCGACAUAGAGGACAUGCUUCAGGAAAAUAAACGCCUCGGUGAUGGGGAGAUCGUUGUUCCACCUGGAGGGUUUGCGAAUCUAAAGCUGCUUCGCUUCUUUGCAACUAUUGUGCCAAGGCUUACAUUUACAGCGAAGGCAAUGCCAGCACUCGAGAGGAUCGAUAUGCGGUUUCAGGCCUUUGAAGGGAUCUAUGGGGUGGACACACUUGAAAGUAUCCAAGAGGUGCAUCUGAGCGUUGAUAGUCAAGCAGAUGAAGCAACCAAGUUCUUGGUUGGAUAUUUGAAGGACAACACCAAGCGGACAAAAAUAAUCACUAACUGAAGGAAGUAUCACCGCAAGAUACUGCUGUCACUCGGAGCACAUACGCAACCAUCAAUCAGAGUGAAAGUUCUCGACGACAUGAAUUUGGAUGGGAAAUGGAACUAUUCUGUUGCAGAAGGUGCAUGGUUUGGCCCCCCUAAUACCGCACACAUGAACCGUCCGUCCGUCCAAUCCAGUGUGUAAACUGGAACCGGCCCAAGUAUUUCGUCAAGCCCACCCAAUCCAAUCCAAUGGGCCUAACAAGUAGGCCCAUCCACAAAAAGGCCCAACUGAUCACCUCUCCUGCCUUCGCCUCUCCGUUCGUCCGUCCGUCUCCCCUUCCACCGGCGAUGGCGCUCUCCGGCGACGCGCCGCUCUCCUCGACGCCAUUGUCACACGAAGCUCCCCCGAAGAAGCGUCCUCCUCCGGGGCUCUCCCGUGUUCUUAUGCGACAAGGGUCGACAGGGCAGGGAAACCUUUACCCGGUUCCCCUCUUUCAGUCUUUCUUCCUGUCCAAACAAAGAUGAAGAGAACUUUCCAUACGAAGAAUGCACUGCUCUCUUUCCUU
Brachypodium distachyon (stiff brome) is the source of this 3820-nucleotide RNA transcript. It is a transcript of the gene named disease resistance protein RPP13, with no coding region annotated. The transcript is spliced from 4 exons. NCBI's taxonomy places the organism in Eukaryota, Viridiplantae, Streptophyta, Magnoliopsida, Poales, Poaceae. The record is from RefSeq and is a predicted model, not a curated record.